AACACUGCAUUUUCCUGAAAUACCAAUUCUCCAAUUUUCUUCGGAGACAGUGUGAACAGAUGGAUGAUUUUAUAAUUAAUGCACAACAGGACAUUGUUAGUAUGGUGGUACUGAGGAUACACCUUCAAAUAAAGGUACCAUUCCCUAUGCCGUUUCCACAUUACAGUCAUUUCUCAACAGCUGUGAUAAAACAUGGUGUCACACUCAACGAAUGGUCCUCAGGUCUCCAAGGACUUGUGAACAGACAGGGAAGACAUACAUUUCUAUGGCGGAGGUAAUGAGCAUCUCUCUUCCACUUUCAAUUUUCAAAGUAGUUCCUUGUUUGCCUGUUGAUCCCAAACAAUUCUUUGCAAUGACAUUCUCUCACUUUCAUGGAGCUUUUUAUUUUGUCCCCAGUCCUUGCAAUCCAGAAUAACUAUGGAAAUUCAAAAUGAGCAUGGAAAUAGGAUUUCAAGGUGGUGACAGAGCAGUAGUGAUGAAUGGAAACGAUGAGCCCAGUUUUGAUGUAUUAUUUAAAAACUUCACAGUACUGCCCCG
Molecule: long non-coding RNA, 537 nt
Filed under: Fukomys damarensis (Damara mole-rat)
Lineage: Eukaryota; Metazoa; Chordata; Mammalia; Rodentia; Bathyergidae
Description: lncRNA (ENSFDAG00000023726.1)
Source: RNAcentral